AUUGAACGCUGGCGGCAGGACUAACACAUGCAAGUCGAACGAGUGGCGGACGGGUGAGUAAUGUCUGGGAACCUGCCUGAUGGAGGGGGAUAACUACUGGAAACGGUAGCUAAUACAGCAUACCAUCGGAUGUGCCCAGAUGGGAUUAGCUAGUAGGUGUGGUAAAGGCUAACAUAGGCGACGAUCCCUAGCUGGUCUGAGAGGAUGACUAGACACACUGGAAUGGAGACACGGUCCAGACGCCUACGGGAGGCAGCAGUGGGGAAUAGUGCACAAUGGGCGCAAGCCUGAUGCAGCCAUGCCGCGUGUAUGAAGAAGGCCGUCGGGUUGUAAAGUACUUUCAGCGGGGAGGCGUUACCCGCAGAAGAAGCACCGGCUAACUCCGUGCCAGCAGCCGCGGUAAUUC
This 406-nucleotide ribosomal RNA is filed under the name uncultured bacterium. Its description in RNAcentral is "partial 16S ribosomal RNA". It matches the Rfam family "Bacterial small subunit ribosomal RNA", at positions 30 to 526 of the family's 1533-position model. The record is from RNAcentral.